CGUUGUUGGGUAGGGGAGCGUUCUGUAAGCCGUUGAAGGUGGCCUGUGAGGGUUGCUGGAGGUAUCAGAAGUGCGAAUGCUGACAUAAGUAACGAUAAAGCGGGUGAAAAGCCCGCUCGCCGGAAGACCAAGGGUUCCUGUCCAACGUUAAUCGGGGCAGGGUGAGUCGACCCCUAAGGCGAGGCUGAAAAGCGUAGUCGAUGGGAAACAGGUUAAUAUUCCUGUACUUGGUGUUACUGCGAAGG
Molecule: ribosomal RNA, 245 nt
Filed under: Serratia marcescens
Lineage: Bacteria; Pseudomonadati; Pseudomonadota; Gammaproteobacteria; Enterobacterales; Yersiniaceae
Description: partial 23S ribosomal RNA
Rfam family: Bacterial large subunit ribosomal RNA
Source: RNAcentral